AGCGAACGCUGGCGGCAGGCCUAACACAUGCAAGUCGAACGGAUCCUUCGGGAUUAGUGGCGGACGGGUGAGUAACACGUGGGAACGUGCCCUUUGGUUCGGAACAACUCAGGGAACCCUGAGCUAAUACCGGAUGUGCCCUUCGGGGGAAAGAUUUAUCGCCAUUGGAGCGGCCCGCGUCUGAUUAGCUAGUUGGUGGGGUAAGGGCCCACCAAGGCGACGAUCAGUAGGUGGUCUGAGAGGAUGAUCAGCCACAUUGGGACUGAGACACGGCCCAAACUCCUACGGGAGGCAGCAGUGGGGAAUCUUGCGCAAUGGGCGAAAGCCUGACGCAGCCAUGCCGCGUGAAUGAUGAAGGUCUUAGGAUUGUAAAAUUCUUUCACCGGGGACGAUAAUGACGGUACCCGGAGAAGAAGCCCCGGCUAACUUCGUGCCAGCCGCCGCCGUAA
This 449-nucleotide ribosomal RNA is filed under the name uncultured bacterium. RNAcentral describes it as "partial 16S ribosomal RNA". It matches the Rfam family "Bacterial small subunit ribosomal RNA", at positions 29 to 523 of the family's 1533-position model. The record is from RNAcentral.